RNAcentral lists this small RNA (414 nucleotides) under Fusarium sp. 9s MS-2015. Its description in RNAcentral is "eukaryotic LSU rRNA". The stretch from base 108 to 261 matches the Rfam family "5.8S ribosomal RNA". Lineage: Eukaryota; Fungi; Ascomycota; Sordariomycetes; Hypocreales; Nectriaceae. The record is from RNAcentral.
CAUUCCUCGGCGGGACAGCCCGCGCCCCGUAAAAGGGACGGCCCGCCCGAGGACCCCUAAACUCUGUUUUUAGUGGAACUUCUGAGUAAAACAAACAAAUAAAUCAAAACUUUCAACAACGGAUCUCUUGGUUCUGGCAUCGAUGAAGAACGCAGCAAAAUGCGAUAAGUAAUGUGAAUUGCAGAAUUCAGUGAAUCAUCGAAUCUUUGAACGCACAUUGCGCCCGCCAGUAUUCUGGCGGGCAUGCCUGUUCGAGCGUCAUUUCAACCCUCAAGCUCAGCUUGGUGUUGGGACUCGCGGUAACCCGCGUUCCCCAAAUCGAUUGGCGGUCACGUCGAGCUUCCAUAGCGUAGUAAUCAUACACCUCGUUACUGGUAAUCGUCGCGGCCACGCCGUAAAACACCCAACUUCUGA